UCACUUUUACACCCACGUUUUGGUAGUUUUCGUAAAGGAACAGUUUUAUUCCUGACAGAAGCUGGUACAUGCUGUUUUAUUCUCUCACCCAACCUUUGAGAAGUCCUACCUACAUAGCGAGCAUCGCGUUUAAAUGUGAGUGUGAUCAUAAAAUGCUACUUUUGGUGCUAGGAGACCGCCAAAGCUCUUGUCUGACUCAUAUGCCUUGAAGUAGCAAAGCAGAUUUCUGCUAUCAUCAAGUUGGUCUGUGACCAUAACUGACUCACAUAUGGAACACUUGUGCUUUUCAAAAUAUUUCUGGAAUGGAGAAAUCAAACAGGAAUGCUUGAGUCAGCUUUGCAGAAUUGUGCGGUAAUAUAUGAAAUUAUAAUAUGAAGAAUUGUGCAGUAAUAUAUGAAAUUAUAAUAAUGAUAUUACAUGAUAGUAGUUGCUAUCAUGUAACAGACAUUAAUUAAUGUUUGAGUCCACAGCUGAUGUUAUGUAAAGUUUGCAAGAAGUACUUGUAAAUUGUGUUUUCCAUAUACCACUUCCACUUUGAAUUAUCAUAUUUAGGAACAAACUGUAGGAACAAACUACUAUUACAGAUAAAGCAUAAACAAUCAUCAAUUGAGCAAUGUUGAGUAUUGUUUGAGUUUACAAGGAAAAUAAAAUAUGAGCAUAGGUUUUCAAGACAAUUCACAAAAUUAAAGAUCAUUGCUUUUAAUUCUCAGGACAGUUCUGCCAUACAGUUUAUAUUUAUUUCUAGUAAAAAACUACAGCAGAAGGAUUCUAUUAAAAUAAAAUAAAUAGUGGAAAUUUGGUCUAUGAGAUUUACUGCAAGAAUACAUUACUCAACUACCAACUAUUGCUACAACACACAGCAUAGAUGCCAUUUGUCAUGGUCAAAGUUGUUUUUUAGUCCAACUAAGAUUUAUUUGUAUACCAAAGGUAAGUAAUAAAUUAUCUUAUCAUUCAAUUAGCUCAUGUCUGUCUUUGUAAUUGACCAAAAUUUAAACAACAGUACAAUACUUCAGUUCAGCCAGUGUGUAUGCUCUUAUGCAAUUCACUAUUUCUCAGAUACAUUAUAAUGGUAUAUGAUCAUUUACAAGAUUAAUAUAUCGUAUAUUUAUCUACCUAACCACUGAUAAAAUGUUAAUUACAUGUUCAAUAAAACUAUAACUAUAUAGAA
This is a long non-coding RNA of Xenia sp. Carnegie-2017, 1168 nucleotides long. RefSeq lists it as uncharacterized. The transcript has 2 exons. Lineage: Eukaryota; Metazoa; Cnidaria; Anthozoa; Malacalcyonacea; Xeniidae. The record is from RefSeq and is a predicted model, not a curated record.